Molecule: ribosomal RNA, 550 nt
Filed under: uncultured bacterium
Lineage: Bacteria
Description: bacterial SSU rRNA
Rfam family: Bacterial small subunit ribosomal RNA
Source: RNAcentral
AAUAGAUACCCCGGUAGUCCACGCCCUAAACGAUGUCAACUGGUUGUCGGGGAAGUUAUUCCUUGGUAACGAAGCUAACGCGUGAAGUUGACCGCCUGGGGAGUACGGCCGCAAGGUUAAAACUCAAAGGAAUUGACGGGGACCCGCACAAGCGGUGGAUUAUGUGGAUUAAUUCGAUGCAACGCGAAAAACCUUACCUACCCUUGACUUGUCAGGAAUCCUGCAGAGAUGCGGGAGUGCCCGAAAGGGAACCUGAACACAGGUGCUGCAUGGCUGUCGUCAGCUCGUGUCGUGAGAUGUUGGGUUAAGUCCCGCAACGAGCGCAACCCUUGCCAUUAGUUGCCACAUUCAGUUGGGCACUCUAAUGGGACUGCCGGUGACAAACCGGAGGAAGGUGGGGAUGACGUCAAGUCCUCAUGGCCCUUAUGGGUAGGGCUUCACACGUAAUACAAUGGCCGGUACAGAGGGCUGCCAACCCGCAAGGGGAGCUAAUCCCAGAAAGCCGGUCGUAGUCCGGAUUGUUCUCUGCAACUCGAGAGCAUGAAGUCGG